Long non-coding RNA from Ornithodoros turicata, 166 nucleotides. RefSeq lists it as uncharacterized. NCBI's taxonomy places the organism in Eukaryota, Metazoa, Arthropoda, Arachnida, Ixodida, Argasidae. The transcript has 3 exons. The record is from RefSeq and is a predicted model, not a curated record.
CAGUCCAAAGUAUUCCAAGGAACGAACGACACACGCAAUGCCACCAAAAGUCUCUUGCGCCAUUGCUUUCAGGUCAGACUGGUGAGCGCACUGGAAGCCAGCAAACUGCGAAUGUCACUGAACAAGCAAUAGAUGAUCCACAGCUGGAUUUCCUUUCCAUUGAGGG